This is a long non-coding RNA of Haemorhous mexicanus (house finch), 4401 nucleotides long. RefSeq lists it as uncharacterized. NCBI's taxonomy places the organism in Eukaryota, Metazoa, Chordata, Aves, Passeriformes, Fringillidae. The record is from RefSeq and is a predicted model, not a curated record. The transcript has 2 exons.
CCCAAACUCAGGCACCUCCAUUGGGCUGCUACUCCUGUACUCUGCCCCCUUGUCAUUCUGCCUCUCUGCUGUUUGACAAGUCCUUCCUGCAGCCUGAUCUGCUCCUGACCCCAGAUCAGGAGCAAGCUCCCAGGAGCAGAAACUGCACUGGCUCUGCAGGGCUCCUGCACUGGCGACUCCUGAGCUGAGCCACUCUCCUGUGAUCAGUUCCAGUGGGACAAGAGUGGCAGUAUUCUUUCCUCCCAUUUUUGUGAGUAACCAGGUUUUCUCUCUCUCCUUUGCAGAAGGACAAAAAUACAGCCUUUAGCCUGAAGCAGGAUCCCAGCAGGGGUCUGGUAUCCCCAGAUUUCAGCGCUACUGUAGGUCCUUUUUCUGGAACCUGCUUCCCUGUGUUGGGCUGGACAGAGCAAAGCAGAAGUGGGACUUUGGGGCAGAAAAGGUACAAGACUGGAGCAUGAAGGUACAAGCCCAUGUCUGGGAAAUGGUUCUUCCAUGGACAUUUCUGAGAAAAUGAGGGCUUGUUCAGAGACAGGAAGGGACUGGACCUUCUAUGAAAAGAAUGGUGUAAAGUGCUAGUAAAAAGGACACCCUUUUUUAAAAAACUCACAUUUCUCAGCCAGAACUUCUGUUCAGAGGGAUGGCUGGCUUUUUGCCUGCCAGUUUGGCAUGCAGGACUAGUGUGGUGAGUUGUGUGUAAGGUACUGUUUUCCAGCCAGGUUUGUUCCUGGCUGUGCUUCACUUCCAUUUGUUCUUUGUCAUUUGUUCUUCACCUCUUUGAAACAUUUUAAUUGACUAAUCAGUUUGCAGAGUCAUCAGCGUGUGAGGUAACAGUCCCUCUCACAUGUACACGGGCCUUCCUCCCCGAGCACGUACCUGUGAGUGGCUGAGGUGAGCAGUGGGCACCUCCACUGAGGCAUGGAGGCAAGGAUCAGACUGCACAGCAGCCAGAGAAGGAAGUGGUGUCAUUCCAGACAUCGGACAAGUUAUGGAUGUGGAGCUGAUUUGUGUGAUGCUGGUGGGACAUGGAGCAGUGGGGCACCGCUGUUUGUGGCUGUGUGGAGCUGCACACCCUGGACACCCAGCAGGGCUGAACAAGAUGCCCUGGCAUCUUGGCACCUCCUUGCAGCUGGCAUAGGCAAUGUGGGUGUGUAGAUACCCUUCUGGAAGGACAAGGAGGGGCUCUGAUAGAGAAGCUCCAUCCUGUGGUAGGGAUUUGAGCUUCACAGGAUGACAGUGCUGGUGGGGCACAGCCCUCUGUUUGCACUGGGCUGGGUGGUGCAAACAAUGAUGGUUGCUGCUGACAACCUUGGAAAUUUCCUGGAAUUCCAGGGCUGGAGCCAGCCCCUGCUCUGGGGAAGGUGGAUGCUGCGUCUCAGUCCAUAAAGUCCCCAGAAUGGGAGAAAGGGGUGAGAGACACACAAAGUCAGUAGUAAAAAGAAAUGAAAGUCGGCAGCUUGCCACAGCAGAGUGCAGACUCUGCAGAGCUGCCUCUUUUAUUGGCGCCCAGACUGGAGGGAGGUUUAUGCUCUCAAACAAGCCAAAUUGGAAAUGGAGCACAGGCCAGAGCCCUGCAAGCAGGCUGCUGCCCCCAGUACCAGGAAGGGUAUGUGGACAUCUGAAAUCCUUGCCUUUCCCUCACCCUUCUCUUCUCCAUCCUUCCUCCUUUCCACUCCUUUUUCACUGUCCCUUUUCAUGUCUCAAAUCUUCCCCUUCCCAUGGCUGGGUUUGUCCCCCAGUGCUGAUUUCCCCAACAGCUCCUGCCAUCAGCUGGUACUGAAAAGCCCUUUUGGUGGUGGCAAUAGGCCAGUUUGCUCAAAGGCAGCCAGUCUGGGUGGCCCAGUGAGUCUGGGAGGAGUUAUCUGUAGCCCUCUCUUUCUACUGCUUCUCUGCUAAAUGCAGAGGAGCAAUUUGCAUUACAGUGACAAUGUGUUGAAUGCCUGUCCUCAUGUUUCUGUCCUGCCACUAGGAAAAGAAGUGUGCAAGACAUGGAAGAAUCAGAGCAAACAGCAGACAUGAUGUUGAAGGCAUGGAGAGGAGACCCAUCACCCAAGGACCUGGCACAUAAUCUAGCAUGGCAAGUGGUGGUUAGCAGCUGGAUGCCAGAUAUGACAUGAAAAUAAUUUGCUAAUUAAUGCAAAGCCUAAAGUCAUACAAGCAGUAGGUGGGGAGAAUUGGGUGUUCAUUCCUCAGCAAGCUCCCCAAGUCUGUGCUGAACAGGGCAUGGAGACCACUGUGAUGCCCCAGGAUCCAGCUCUGACAUGCUGAGUCUGUUCUGUGACAUCCAGGAAUGUCAAUAAAAGAGCACUAGAGACUGAAGGUGAGAGAUCAGACACCAGCUACUCUGGGGACCUGAGCUCUCUUCUCUUCUCCAGCUGUUUUUUUUUCAUGUCAUUUCAUUUAUCCAAUGCCUCAGUUUGCUGCCUGCAAAAAGCCCAAAGGGAUUAUGACAUCUGUUGUCAGAUUAAACUGUGGUCUUGACUAUGAGAGGUCAGGUACCAUGGUGGGAGCGUUUCAGUCUGAAACCGUGCUCCCAUCCCACGUGGUGCUCUACAGCGUGGGUUCAUUUUCUGGGAAAAGGUCCUGCUAAAGUCAGCUUGGUGCUCAUGCACUGUCUUCCAGCCAGCAUGCAGGGAAAUUGUUUGCUCUCUUUCUUUCCUCCAGUUUUGGCUGUUGAAGCAAAAACACAUAAUAAAGUAAAGAGGGUUUUAAUGACAAUCUGCCGGCAUGUUUAAUAUUCCAGCUUGAGGAAUGAUCCAGUUAUGUACUGGAGCCAAGGGAAAGGAUGUCAUUACUUCCAGUGCACACUGAAUCAGUGUCUUUGCAAAGAGAAGCAAACAUCACAAAGGACCUGGCUGCUCACCACUGACCCACAAAACAAAGCCAUUGCUCCAACAGAUACUGAGCUUUAGACUCAGAGCUUGCUCUCCUGUAAUCACUGUGUUACAGAUCCAUAAAGAAGGGAGAACUUGGGUGCUCUAUGCAGCUUUAUUGAGUAUCUUCCCCCCUGCAAUGAUCAAUAAGGUUGUUUUUUUUUCCUGCUCAGGGAAAGGUACAGGAAGUUUUCUGUGCAAAACCUUGGCAUUCCCCAAUUCAGGUCUGAGAGAGAGAUUCAGAUGUGUGCUUUUGCUGCACUUCUUUGUAGCUGAGACUCUCGCCACAUCUGCUGGAUUUAUGGCCCCAAAUUGGCUCUGUCAUCCAGUAAUCCUUCCUGUGCACACAAAUAUUUGGACAACUCUCAUUGUUUCAGAAGCAGACUAGCCUGUGUGGCUCCACUGACAUUACCUACUCUGCCAGGCAGGUGGCUGCAGAGAAAACAGCUUUAUUUAUACAGUGCAUUGGAAUGACAGAAGUGGAUUCUUGAUAGCAAGGAGGAUGAGGGACCUCUGGAUACAAGGACCAGUUGCCCUUUUCAGCCCAAUUGGCAGUGGAAUCUAGUCUGCUCCUGCCAUCAAAUCAAUACCAUGUCUUCCUGAGGAGAGCUGGAUUCUGAACUGACUGGAGGUUGAAUCCAGGGUACUUUAAGGGGUUCCACUGCUUCCAAACACAUGGAGUGAGGCAGAAAAUCAGACAAAGAACCUAAGGGUUGUAAUAAUGUCACAGAGUGCAAGUAGAGCUUCUUAAGAACCAAAGCUGCUUGUGGGGCAGAGCCAGAGACCUCUGACAGCUGAAAACUUACUGACUGUUGAAAGUUUCCCAGCAUUUUGGAGUCAGGAUUUGAGAGAUAGUGUGCAGUAAAGUUAGCAAAAUCACAGCAGGAGUGUAACUGAUUCAUUCCAUUGAAUCCUUGUCUGAAUGGAAACAGGUCCACAAGGCCAGAUGCUCAGGCUCCAAGUGGUAGCAGGGUUUAUUGCUAGGUUGGAGCAAGGAAAGGUCAGCGUGGGGGGCAAUGCCAAGUGAACAUCUGCUGUCUUGUUACUUGUGAGUCAAAGGCAAAAAUAUCUAAGAAAGGUGGAAAGAAAGGGUCCAGCUUAUGAUGCCAGUGAAGACAGGACCCCUCUCUUUCACUUUAAGACUGAGUUGAGCAUCCGCUUUUCCCCAGGUGCUCACAUCAGGCUGUCUCCUUUGCAGGGCCCAGGCAGUCUGGUGUAAGCCAUGGUGGCCUGGCUCCCUGCAGUGGCUGUGCCAUCCUGUGCUGGGGAUGCAGUCCAGCAGAUCUCUCGGAGAGGCAAAGCUCGUUUCUCUCCUAAUCGAGCAGGUGGUAGCAACCUGGUAUUUCAGGCGUGCUGCCUCCAUUCCCAAACACAGCUGAAUUCCUGAUGCAAGGAGACUUUACAAGACCCAUGAGAGACACCAAAGGCUGACCCUUGCUGUCAUUGGGAGGGAGGAACUUUCUGGUUACCUCUAAACACAAAGGACAAAGCAUUGUAAGAUAUAUUUAAUAAAACAAAACACACACACACA